This 1987-nucleotide long non-coding RNA is filed under the name Heterocephalus glaber (naked mole-rat). RNAcentral describes it as "lncRNA (ENSHGLG00100040168.1)". The record is from RNAcentral. Lineage: Eukaryota; Metazoa; Chordata; Mammalia; Rodentia; Bathyergidae.
CGUUAUUGUAUGACGAUUAGAGGGAUAUUUAACACAGCGGAAGCCCAGAAGAAGCAAGUGAGAAGGGCUUGAAGAUUACUGCAUUGUAGAUGUUCCCCAGAGCCUCAGGCAUCCAUAGGCUGGGCUUUGUGAAGGAUUGUGGUUGAUGGUCUCCCAACAGCAAGAGGUUAUGGAGGAGAUCUCAUCUGCAGACAAGGAGGAGAAAAACACAGAAGAAUCCCUUACUUCAAAUGAUAUUAGGGAGAUAUAUAAAAUUUAGGAAACAGUGCAAAAUUUUGUAGAAAAGCACCACCCAAAUGAGGCUGUAACAGUGCAAGAGAUGAAUCUGUUUAACAACAAUGAAAUGUCACAUUUCUGCAAAAUCCUCAAAAGGAGGCAAAAGCAAGUGUCACUAGAUAGGUUCCUUGUUAAAGUUGCACAAAAAUUAAAAGAUUCUAUUGAUCCAGUAGAUAGCAGUGAUUCCAUCAGUGACAGUGAACAUCAUCCUGCAUAAUAACCCUCCUCUCUCUUGUCUCCCUCACAUCAGCCAUUAAAGUUUUCAAAGCACUAGGGAUUGAACUCAGGACCUUGCACUUGGCAGGCAGGCACAAUGCCACUGAGCUACAUCCCCAGCAUGACUUCCUAGGAUACAGAGAAGUGACCAUGCAGCUGAGUGGAUGGGCCAGUAACAACCUGAAGUCCUGUUGAGCCACUUCAUCAUCUCAGCAGCAUUAGACGUGUCGCGAGCUGUGCGGGGACCACCUGCCCGGGGCCUACCUGCCUGGGUGUUACUCUUCAGCUGCCCGGGGACCCAGGGCCUGCCUUCCUGGGCACCACUCUUCUUCAGCUUCCUGGGACCUGUCUGCCUCCAUGCCACUCUUCUGCCCAGCCAGCCUCCCUGCCAUUAGCAGUGGGGCCAACAGCAAGAGCCACAGCCAGAUCCAGACAAUGGCAGAGAGCAGAAAGACCAUUGUUCUGAGCUCAGGAAGAUGGCAGAGUGGUGAGCAACAGAGAGAAGGCCUCUCUCAGGACUGUGGCUGAGAAUUGAAGCCCACUGGGAGAGGGAAGAUAGCCACUGCAAUAAAGACCCAGUGGACUUCAGUGGUUGUAAAUGAAAACAAAACAAAACAAAAAACCUCAAAACAGCUUCAAACAGUGACAAAGAAAGGACUUGACAAGGAUGCUAGAAAUUAGCAGGAACAGGAUACAGUACUUGCUGUGGGAACUUGGAAACUUCUGAACAUCACAGGCUGAGAAGGUUUCAUGAGGCCAUUAGGAGAAUUAAAGAAGCAACAAGUCACUUCAUUUUCUGUGGGAAGCUGAGCCGAUCCCAGCACCCGGAAGGAAGCUCCCCCGCCACCAUCCCAAGCUCCUAGGGCAGAGAAGGUGAGCUGGUCCCAGAACCCAGAAGGAAGCUCCACCACCGCCAUCCCAAGCUCUUAGGGGAGAGAAGGUAAUAUUUGAUACUUACUGAACAGUAUUAGUAUAUAUGCUGAUUAUGAAGCAGAAAAAUGAAAUGAACCUCCUUGAACUUAGCACCCAGGUACCAAGGAUUGGACUAAAACCUUGCGCUUGCCAGGCAGGCACAGUGGCCACUGAGCUACAUCCCUGGAUAGGGUUUGUUUCUUUUAAAGUCCUUCUCCCAGUCUAUAGUUAGCAUCCCUCCUAAUCCAUUUGUUCACACAGCAAUUGGAGUCCAUGAGAGAAAACUAAGGAAGGUGCUGCCAUACAGAGGAAAUUCGGAACCCUCCCAGGCUUUCCUUCUGUUUCCUCAUUACUGUUGUGUUCUCCCAAGAGCACAGAGAGAGGGCACAGCUCACUAAUCUCAGAACUGUGUCUUCUUUACCUUUGCUUAUUCAGAUUGUCCAAAUGAGGAUAUAUGUUUAGAUCUAGAUUUCCUUCUUUUUGACCUCUUGCAAGUAUGCUUGCUUUGCUGAGAAUACUAAAGCACCAAAGGUCCAUGGUGUGUAGUAUGUUGAGUGAAAGGGCAAAAAUUCACCGAGUGGGG